This 376-nucleotide ribosomal RNA is filed under the name uncultured bacterium. Its description in RNAcentral is "bacterial SSU rRNA". It matches the Rfam family "Bacterial small subunit ribosomal RNA", at positions 524 to 898 of the family's 1533-position model. RNAcentral also lists the same sequence under 1 other name. The record is from RNAcentral.
UACGUAGGUGGCAAGCGUUGUCCGGAAUUACUGGGUGUAAAGGGCGUGUAGGCGGGACGGCAAGUCAGAUGUGAAAUACCUCGGCUUAACUGGGGUGCUGCAACUGAAACUGUCGUUCUUGAGUGUCGGAGAGGAAAGUGGAAUUCCCAGUGUAGCGGUGAAAUGCGUAGAGAUUGGGAGGAACACCAGUGGCGAAGGCGGCUUUCUGGACGAUAACUGACGCUGAGGCGCGAAAGCGUGGGUAGCAAACAGGAUUAGAUACCCUGGUAGUCCACGCUGUAAACGAUGGAUACUAGGUGUAGGAGGUAUCGACCCCUUCUGUGCCGGAGUUAACACAAUAAGUAUCCCACCUGGGGAGUACGGCCGCAAGGUUGAA